CCUCCCCGGCAUCUCCCCGCCUUUCCAGAGAUGUUCCCAAUCUCUCCAUCCCUGCAAAAAAAAAUAAUAAUAGAUGUUGUAUUAUUUAUUGAUUUAUUUGCUAAUUUUUCCCUGGUGAGCUGCAGCGCAGAGGGGUGCCCAGGACCCAUGGGGGUGUCAGGGAUGGGGAGGGCAGGAACGGGGCUUGGAUACUGCAAGGAGCAGCUGUGGGAUGGUUCCUGUGGGCAUGUGUGUGGGGGUCCCUCGUGGUGCCGUGCGGCCAGAUCCAUGGCCAGGGGAUUGGGGUGGCGGAGCUGGCCCCUGUGCCAGCUGGAAGGUAGCCUUGAGUGCCCACGAGGUGGUCCUGGGUGCCCAUGAGGUGGUUUUGGGUGGCCGGAGAGGGCCUUAGAUGGUGAAGAGGUGGCCUCAGGUGUCCAGGAGAUGGUUUUGGGUGGCUGCAGGGUGGUCCUGGGUGGCUGGGAGGUCACCGUGGAUGUCCAGGAGGUGGCCUCCAGUGGUUUGGGGGCUCAGGAGAUGUUUUCUUGGGUGGCCAAGAGGGGGACCCCUCCCUGCGGGGCCUGCGCCCGUGCGGCCUCACUGCAGGGCCCCAACUGGGAACACAGGGACAGGUGUCCCUGGGGGGGGGGGGACACAUGGGGAGCAGGCAUCACCCAUGCCAUGCCUCACACCCUUCCUUCUCCUCUCCCUCCUCAGCGCCUCGCCGGAGCCUCCUCGCCGGGAUGAACGGGACGGCCAACCUCACCCCGGGCGGCCGAGGCCACUACGGCUCCGCCAUCCCGGUGCCACGCUCCGUGCCCCCUGGCAAGCUGCCCGCUGCGGCCCCCCCGGCCCGACACAGCAGCCCGGGGCCCCCCACCUCCCACCAAGCCUCGUCCCCGCGGCUGGCCUCCGGCCCCAAAAGCCUUAAACCUAAACCCAGAGCCGCCACCAGCCACGAGGUGGCUGGGGAGCCCAGCCCCGGCGUCCCCCCCCGUGGGGGGCAGAGACCCCUGGUGCCCCCCGGGAAGGGGCUGGAGGUGGGCAAGGGGGUGGCGGGCAGCCUGCGGGGACCCGGGGGUCGCCGUCCCUUGAGCUGCUCCGUGCGGGGGCUGGGGGGGACCCCUGAGAUGGAGGAUGCCCCCCCCAUCGGCUCGCAGAGCAGGGUGCCCGUUUUUGGGUCGGGGGCCAUCAGUUUCUCCUCGGCCCCCCCACACAGCCGGCCCGUGACGGCCACCGUGGCACCCUUCCAGUACCGGCUGCAGGGGGACAGGGAGGAGCAGGCCACGUCCCCGUGUGACACCGACCCCAAACCCGGAGCCUUGAGUGAGUCCAUGGGGGGGUUUCCUUGGGGGGUGUGUGUGGGGAGGUCCUGUGUGCCCCCUGCCCGGGGGCUGGCCUGGGACUUGUGGGGGGCGAUGCUGGGUGCCCCCCGCUCCCCUUCUGCUUGUGCGGGGGCUGGGGGGGCUUCUGGGGAAGGGGCGCAGGGAGGCUGGGAGGGGGACGGGGGGGACACACGGGGGCCAUCGUCUGCGUUAUUAAUGCCUUGUGCGGGGCCUCCGGGAGCAGCUGGCGGCGGCUGGGAGCGGGGCCGGAUGAGCUGCACGUGCAGACGUGGGGCCAGGGCUGUGCCGAGCACAGGAGCAUCCCAAAAACCGCCGCACGGAGAGAGCGAGGGGGGAGAGGGAGAAGGAUGGGGGGAGGAGGGAACCGUGCGGGGGCCAGGGGCUGGGGCUGCGGGGCCAGGCUGGUGGGCGCGGGGUGGGCACGGGGUGGGCACGGGGUGCCCGGUGGCUUCGUGGCAGCAAGGAGAGGGGCAAAAAUCACAAGCGAGGAGAGGAGCAGGGGAUGGGGGGACCCUUCCCCAGUCCCCCCCAGCUGCUGGAGCCGCGUCCAUCCCUGUGGGGCUGCCGUGGGGCAGGGGCUCUCCCCCCGCUUCCCCGUGCCACCGAGCAGCCGGGUGCCCCCAGGCUCGUCCCCGCCGCCCACCUCCCCCGUUUUUCGGUGUGGCCGUCCCCUCCCGAGGCCCUGCUGCCUCUUGGCUCGCUCUCCUCUUUCUAGUUUUCCACCCAGCUCCAGGAAUGACCCCAUUUCCGAGGAGGCGGCCGAGAGCCAGAGCGCAGCCGGGGAAGAAGGGAGGGGGGGUGGGGGGCCUGGCACCGGUGGCUCCCGGCGCUGCCAACCUCCCACCGGCACCGCGGGGCUGCCGGGCAGGGAUUUAACACCCGGAGCGUCCCCAGCUGCCGGUGACACCCCCGUGAGCGGAUUUGGGGACAAACCCACACCCUCCGUGCCGCGUGGUCGGCUCCAUGCUCACCACGGCGUUUGUCAAUGAAGCGUUUGGCACCGGGCACCGGCUGCGCUUUGGCUUUUUUUUGGCUUUUGGGGCGAGCAGGACACGAGCCCCUUUAUUUUUUUUUAUUUUUUAUUUUUUUUGGGGUGGGGGUGGCUGAGCCCAGA
Molecule: long non-coding RNA, 2436 nt
Filed under: Anas platyrhynchos platyrhynchos (common mallard)
Lineage: Eukaryota; Metazoa; Chordata; Aves; Anseriformes; Anatidae
Description: lncRNA (ENSAPLG00000027629.1)
Source: RNAcentral